This 497-nucleotide ribosomal RNA is filed under the name uncultured bacterium. RNAcentral describes it as "partial 16S ribosomal RNA". It matches the Rfam family "Bacterial small subunit ribosomal RNA", at positions 28 to 507 of the family's 1533-position model. The record is from RNAcentral.
GAUGAACGCUGGCGGCGUGCCUAAUACAUGCAAGUCGAGCGAACGGACGAGAAGCUUGCUUCUCUGAUGUUAGCGGCGGACGGGUGAGUAACACGUGGAUAACCUACCUAUAAGACUGGGAUAACUUCGGGAAACCGGAGCUAAUACCGGAUGAUAUUUUGAACCGCAUGGUUCGAAAGUGAAAGACGGUCUUGCUGUCACUUAUAGAUGGAUCCGCGCUGCAUUAGCUAGUUGGUAAGGUAACGGCUUACCAAGGCAACGAUGCAUAGCCGACCUGAGAGGGUGAUCGGCCACACUGGAACUGAGACACGGUCAAGACUCCUACGGGAGGCAGCAGUAGGGAAUCUUCCGCAAUGGGCGAAAGCCUGACGGAGCAACGCCGCGUGAGGGAUGAAGGUCUUCGGAUCGUAAAACUCUGUUAUUAGGGAAGAACAUAUGUGUAAGUAACUGUGCACAUCUUGACGGUACCUAAUCAGAAAGCCACGGCUAACUACGUG